RNAcentral lists this ribosomal RNA (746 nucleotides) under uncultured Parvimonas sp. RNAcentral's name for it is "bacterial SSU rRNA". It matches the Rfam family "Bacterial small subunit ribosomal RNA", at positions 28 to 776 of the family's 1533-position model. The record is from RNAcentral. Lineage: Bacteria; Bacillati; Bacillota; Tissierellia; Tissierellales; Peptoniphilaceae.
GACGAACGCUGGCGGCGUGCUUAACACAUGCAAGUCGAACGUGAUUUUUGUGGAAAUUCUUUCGGGAAUGGAAAUGAAAUGAAAGUGGCGAACGGGUGAGUAACGCGUGAGCAACCUACCUUACACAGGGGGAUAGCCGUUGGAAACGACGAUUAAUACCGCAUGAGACCACAGAAUCGCAUGAUAUAGGGGUCAAAGAUUUAUCGGUGUAAGAAGGGCUCGCGUCUGAUUAGCUAGUUGGAAGGGUAAAGGCCUACCAAGGCGACGAUCAGUAGCCGGUCUGAGAGGAUGAACGGCCACAUUGGAACUGAGACACGGUCCAAACUCCUACGGGAGGCAGCAGUGGGGAAUAUUGCACAAUGGGGGGAACCCUGAUGCAGCGACGCCGCGUGAGCGAAGAAGGUUUUCGAAUCGUAAAGCUCUGUCCUAUGAGAAGAUAAUGACGGUAUCAUAGGAGGAAGCCCCGGCUAAAUACGUGCCAGCAGCCGCGGUAAUACGUAUGGGGCGAGCGUUGUCCGGAAUUAUUGGGCGUAAAGGGUACGUAGGCGGUUUUUUAAGUCAGGUGUGAAAGCGUGAGGCUUAACCUCAUUAAGCACUUGAAACUGGAAGACUUGAGUGAAGGAGAGGAAAGUGGAAUUCCUAGUGUAGCGGUGAAAUGCGUAGAUAUUAGGAGGAAUACCGGUGGCGAAGGCGACUUUCUGGACUUUUACUGACGCUCAGGUACGAAAGCGUGGGGAGCAAACAGG